GGUUAAGCGACUAAGCGUACACGGUGGAUGCCCUGGCAGUCAGAGGCGAUGAAGGGCGUGCUAAUCUGCGAUAAGCGCCGGUAAGGUGAUAUGAACCGUUAUAACCGGCGAUACCCGAAUGGGGAAACCCAGUGUGAUUCGUCACACUAUCAUUAACUGAAUCCAUAGGUUAAUGAGGCGAACCGGGGGAACUGAAACAUCUAAGUACCCCGAGGAAAAGAAAUCAACCGAGAUUCCCCCAGUAGCGGCGAGCGAACGGGGAGGAGCCCAGAGCCUGAAUCAGCAUGUGUGUUAGUGGAAGCGUCUGGAAAGGCGCGCGAUACAGGGUGACAGCCCCGUACACAAAAGCGCAUGUGCUGUGAGCUCGAUGAGUAGGGCGGGACACGUGGUAUCCUGUCUGAAUAUGGGGGGACCAUCCUCCAAGGCUAAAUACUCCUGACUGACCGAUAGUGAACCAGUACCGUGAGGGAAAGGCGAAAAGAACCCCGGCGAGGGGAGUGAAAAAGAACCUGAAACCGUGUACGUACAAGCAGUGGGAGCACAGGUUUACCUGUGUGACUGCGUACCUUUUGUAUAAUGGGUCAGCGACUUAUAUUCUGUAGCAAGGUUAACCGAAUAGGGGAGCCGGAGGGAAACCGAGUCUUAAUUGGGCGUUAAGUUGCAGGGUAUAGACCCGAAACCCGGUGAUCUAGCCAUGGGCAGGUUGAAGGUUGGGUAACACUAACUGGAGGACCGAACCGACUAAUGUUGAAAAAUUAGCGGAUGACCUGUGGCUGGGGGUGAAAGGCCAAUCAAACCGGGAGAUAGCUGGUUCUCCCCGAAAGCUAUUUAGGUAGCGCCUCGUGAAUUCAUCUCCGGGGGUAGAGCACUGUUUCGGCUAGGGGGCCAUCCCGGCUUACCAACCCGAUGCAAACUGCGAAUACCGGAGAAUGUUAUCACGGGAGACACACGGCGGGUGCUAACGUCCGUCGUGAAGAGGGAAACAACCCAGACCGCCAGCUAAGGUCCCAAAGUCAUGGUUAAGUGGGAAACGAUGUGGGAAGGCCCAGACAGCCAGGAUGUUGGCUUAGAAGCAGCCAUCAUUUAAAGAAAGCGUAAUAGCUCACUGGUCGAGUCGGCCUGCGCGGAAGAUGUAACGGGGCUAAACCAUGCACCGAAGCUGCGGCAGCGAACGUAUCACUUAAAGCGAUUCAGCGGGUUACGAUUGACGGAGCGAAGCGACGUCAAAGCGUAUACAAAGUCGAGUCGGUUUAAGGAUACGUUCGUUGGGUAGGGGAGCGUUCUGUAAGCCUGUGAAGGUGGCCUGUGAGGGUUGCUGGAGGUAUCAGAAGUGCGAAUGCUGACAUAAGUAACGAUAAAGCGGGUGAAAAGCCCGCUCGCCGGAAGACCAAGGGUUCCUGUCCAACGUUAAUCGGGGCAGGGUGAGUCGACCCCUAAGGCGAGGCCGAAAGGCGUAGUCGAUGGGAAACGGGUUAAUAUUCCCGUACUUGGUGUUACUGCGAAGGGGGGACGGAGAAGGCUAUGUUGGCCGGGCGACGGUUGUCCCGGUUUAAGCGUGUAGGCUGGUUUUCCAGGCAAAUCCGGAAAAUCAAGGCUGAGGCGUGAUGACGAGGCACUACGGUGCUGAAGCAACAAAUGCCCUGCUUCCAGGAAAAGCCUCUAAGCAUCAGGUAACAUCAAAUCGUACCCCAAACCGACACAGGUGGUCAGGUAGAGAAUACCAAGGCGCUUGAGAGAACUCGGGUGAAGGAACUAGGCAAAAUGGUGCCGUAACUUCGGGAGAAGGCACGCUGACACGUAGGUGAAGUGAUUUACUCAUGGAGCUGAAGUCAGUCGAAGAUACCAGCUGGCUGCAACUGUUUAUUAAAAACACAGCACUGUGCAAACACGAAAGUGGACGUAUACGGUGUGACGCCUGCCCGGUGCCGGAAGGUUAAUUGAUGGGGUCAGCGCAAGCGAAGCUCCUGAUCGAAGCCCCGGUAAACGGCGGCCGUAACUAUAACGGUCCUAAGGUAGCGAAAUUCCUUGUCGGGUAAGUUCCGACCUGCACGAAUGGCGUAAUGAUGGCCAGGCUGUCUCCACCCGAGACUCAGUGAAAUUGAACUCGCUGUGAAGAUGCAGUGUACCCGCGGCAAGACGGAAAGACCCCGUGAACCUUUACUAUAGCUUGACACUGAACAUUGAGCCUUGAUGUGUAGGAUAGGUGGGAGGCUUUGAAGUGUGGACGCCAGUCUGCAUGGAGCCGACCUUGAAAUACCACCCUUUAAUGUUUGAUGUUCUAACGUGGACCCGUGAUCCGGGUUGCGGACAGUGUCUGGUGGGUAGUUUGACUGGGGCGGUCUCCUCCUAAAGAGUAACGGAGGAGCACGAAGGUUGGCUAAUCCUGGUCGGACAUCAGGAGGUUAGUGCAAUGGCAUAAGCCAGCUUGACUGCGAGCGUGACGGCGCGAGCAGGUGCGAAAGCAGGUCAUAGUGAUCCGGUGGUUCUGAAUGGAAGGGCCAUCGCUCAACGGAUAAAAGGUACUCCGGGGAUAACAGGCUGAUACCGCCCAAGAGUUCAUAUCGACGGCGGUGUUUGGCACCUCGAUGUCGGCUCAUCACAUCCUGGGGCUGAAGUAGGUCCCAAGGGUAUGGCUGUUCGCCAUUUAAAGUGGUACGCGAGCUGGGUUUAGAACGUCGUGAGACAGUUCGGUCCCUAUCUGCCGUGGGCGCUGGAGAACUGAGGGGGGCUGCUCCUAGUACGAGAGGACCGGAGUGGACGCAUCACUGGUGUUCGGGUUGUCAUGCCAAUGGCACUGCCCGGUAGCUAAAUGCGGAAGAGAUAAGUGCUGAAAGCAUCUAAGCACGAAACUUGCCCCGAGAUGAGUUCUCCCUGAGACUUAGAGUCUCCUGAAGGAACGUUGAAGACGACGACGUUGAUAGGCCGGGUGUGUAAGCACAGCGAUGCGUUGAGCUAACCGGUACUAAUGAACCGUGAGGCUUAACCUU
Molecule: ribosomal RNA, 2987 nt
Filed under: Salmonella enterica subsp. enterica serovar Anatum
Lineage: Bacteria; Pseudomonadati; Pseudomonadota; Gammaproteobacteria; Enterobacterales; Enterobacteriaceae
Description: 23S ribosomal RNA
Rfam family: Bacterial large subunit ribosomal RNA
Source: RNAcentral